GACGAACGCUGGCGGCGUGCUUAACACAUGCAAGUCGAACGGAAAGGCCCUGCUUUUGUGGGGUGCUCGAGUGGCGAACGGGUGAGUAACAAGUGAGUAACCUGCCCUUGACUUUGGGAUAACGUCAGGAAACUGGGGCUAAUACCGGAUAGGAGCUCCUGCUGCAUGGUGGGGGUUGGAAAGUUUCGGCGGUUGGGGAUGGACUCGCGGCUUAUCAGCUUGUUGGGGGGGUAGUGGCUUACCAAGGCUUUGACGGGUAGCCGGCCUGAGAGGGUGACCGGCCACAUUGGGACUGAGAUACGGCCCAGACUCCUACGGGAGGCAGCAGUGGGGAAUAUUGCACAAUGGGCGGAAGCCUGAUGCAGAAACGCCGCGUGCGGGAUGACGGCCUUCGGGUUGUAAACCGCUUUCGCCUGUGACGAAGCGUGAGUGACGGUAAUGGGUAAAGAAGCACCGGCUAACUACGUG
Molecule: ribosomal RNA, 468 nt
Filed under: uncultured bacterium
Lineage: Bacteria
Description: partial 16S ribosomal RNA
Rfam family: Bacterial small subunit ribosomal RNA
Source: RNAcentral